UGCACAUUUUAUUUUCCUAGAAUAUGGAUGGUAUAGCUACAAUUUAUGAUAAUUACAGAGGUUUUUAGAUAUUUUUACGCAGCCACACUGAAAACCAAAAGCUUCUCUUCUUUAAAACUAUGAUCACGAGGGGUUGAAACUAAAAAUGUGCAAAUGCACACAUGUAUGUGUUUUUUUUAAUCCCCCUUAUAUGUUAGAUUAUUUUUGAGGGACUAUUUUUUCCCCUUGCCACCUACAUUUUCCCUACAUGGUAUUGGGCGGAGGGACACACUUCAUGCUUAGUUCAGCUAGAGAGACCAUAAAAGGCAAGAGCAACUUGUUUAUCAUUAGACCUAUGGGAAGAGCAACCGACAGGAGAGGCAUUCAGGCAAGGGAAGGCGUGAGCUUUUUUUUCCAUUAAUUUAUAUUUAGGCUUUAGAAUUUCUUUUAUCUCCCUACUAGAAUUUUAGCUUUAUUCUAGUGGGUUAAUAUUUUUAUAAAUUUACAUUUUUAUUUUCUGAAAGUGUAGAAGGUAAAAAAAAACAGAAGCAAAUUGUAUUUGAUAGAUUAGAAACUACGGUGAUCCAGAAUUAAGAAAGCAGAGGAAGAAAAAAAAAAUUAGCAUUACUAAACAACUGUAGUCACACAGCCAUGAAAUGCAUAACAGGCUUUGUGUGUUGUCACACUAGCCACAAAAAGAUUAAAACUGAGCUCUUUAACUAUUCAAAGCAAGUCCAUAGGUGAUAUCUGAGAAAACAAACACUAACAAUAACAAAGGAAAAUGGCUAGAGCAGAACUCUUUAUGAAAUGAAAGAGCUUGAUGCAUACCUGCACUAUGCUCAGAAAAAAAUAGAAGAAAGCUGGCAAAGAAAAACAGAAGACUAGAAAAAGUAUGGGAAUUUGUAAGCUGAAAAAAAGAAACAAGUCUAUGUGGAAAAUGAGAGAUCAGAGUCACAAAACAGACUAGCUUGAAACUUGAAGAUUGGUAAAGAAAAAAAGAAGAUAAAAAAAAGAAGAUAGCUGCCUUAAGAACAAAGAAUAUAGUUAUUAAACAGGUCACUUGCUUAUAGCUGCCUUGAAAAAAGAAGAAAAUAGCCAGUGCACUAAAUUACAUUGAAAAUAGAAGAAAGGAUGACUUAGCUGUAUUUAUACAGUGUGAGAUAUUCUAACUGCAGUGAAAACAGAAGUUACAGUGAAAAGACAAGAAUAAUAGACGUGCUCAAGUAAGGAAGAAAAUCAAGCAAGAAAUGAAAUUUUUUACAUGCAGUAGAAAUUCAAGCUUUGUCAUGCCCUAAGCUGACAAUAGCAAUACAGAAUAAGCAGAAAGCUCUAGACGGAGGUAAUAAAACAAUCUAGAAGGAAAAUAGAGUACACUGGAGAACUAGCUCUCUUUAAAACAAAUCAUCAAAGUCAGUCAGGACUAGAUUAAGAAGAGGAAAACAGAAGAGUAGAAGAGGAGGGUUUGUUUUCUUUUUAGGAAGAAGCAGGAAGAUUUUAGAAGAGGAUGAAUUAAGAAGCAGGAAGACAAGGAGAAAUUGCUCUGAAAGGAAGGACAGGACUGAGAUUUUCUGCAUAGUGUCUUGCUAGGCAGAAUUACUUGAUGGACUCUGCUACUCUUCUAUCAUUAGCAUUGUAAUUAUGUGAUCGCUUGGGAGUUGCGUAUGAGGACUUGAGUAUAUGUACUUCCAGUUGGACUCCGCCUAAAAGCAGUUAGCAAUUUGCAAAGGGACUGAGUAAUUAUGGUUGUUGUACCAGUUGUAAAUUAUUUGAUGAAGAUGAACGGGAAGCUUAGGACCAAGGCAAAAAAAUCUGCUGAUGUCGGUGAAGGUAGAACGGGCCAGGAUCAAGUGGUGGUAGUAAACACAGGAAUAAUCAAGUGGCUUCAGUUCAGCUCGGGCCAGGAUCAAGUGGUGGUAGUAAACACAGGAAUAAAUCAAGUGGCUUCAGUUCAGCUAGAGAGCUUGUUGGAUGACCCCCAAGGGGAGGUAGAAUCAUCUAGCAAUUGAUAUCCUGGAAGGCAGAAAAAGCAAGCUUGUGUUCUAAUUGCCCGUACGUAUAUGGUAAAAGGGAUAAGUAAUUCUUGGGGUGGGGGAGGAUUGGGGGAUGGUCUUUUUCAGCUUUUGUUUUUCAGGACUGUAUCCAAGAAUUGCUGCUGGUGCAAUGUAAACAUCCUUGAACAUUUAUUACCAGUAAGAGAACUUGGCAAGUUCAAGCCAUCUAGCCUUUGGGAAAUCCUUCUAUACAAGGGUAGUGUUUUUUUUUAGCUUGGUCUGUGUAACCUCAGCAGCAGCUGGAUCACAGUGUCUUUGGUAAGAAUAUUAUUUUUAUUUUUUCCAAAGAGUUAAAAGUACAGUUACAUCCAUAUCAUUCCUCUCACCCACUACUUUAGCUUACUAUUAUGGAUUUUCAUAAGUUUGUAGUUGUUAAUAAGCUAGUGGGGUAUAAAUCUAUUUAGUGACUGGCGUGGGGUUGGGGUGCAAAUAUUUUGUAUUUAGAUUUUUUUUUGCAGAAAUGCGUUGUGAUGUAUGUGUAAAUGGCAAGAGUAUCUUCUGCUGUGGUUUGCCAGAAUCUGGAUUCAUACUUUGUCACAGGUAGUUUUUACAUUUCUUGCUGGAUUGGAUGUAUUUGUAUGUAUGUAUAUAGAUAUAUAUUAAAUAACAUUGUAACCGGGGCACAACAAUAUAUGCUUUUAGCUCCUUAUCCUUAUAAAAGGAGGAGACAAAUAAUACCCAGCAAGUUCUGCUUAUAAAAAAUAAUACUGGGCUGGAAAUUUGGGUUCAAACAUAGCAAAGCAACUGAAGUUAUACUUGUUGUACAAACAGCAAUAAGCAUGCCUGUGGGCUGAUCUUUGUGCUGGUGUUAAUAAUAACUGAUUUAUUCAGUUUUAGUACAGAUCUAAAUUAAUUUAUGAUUGCAUUCCAAAUAUGCGUAUUGCAUGUAUGUAUUGUCUGAAUAAAGAAAGUGUAUAUUUAAUUAUGAGGGCAGGGAUGCAAGUGCUUAAGGUGUUCAUGUCUAUUCUGCUCAAUAAACAUAAUUACAAUUCAGAACCUACCUAUACAAACCUAGUUGAAAUUUGUCUGUUAUAUGUUGUGGUGGAGAAUGUUUUGCCUUAGACUUUUUCAGAUUCAGCUCAUGAGACUGCACUAAGGUAUUCCUAAUGAACGAGUCAAGAGUAAUACAGUGUAAAAGUAUACAGGAAAUAUGAAAGAAUAAGGAUGUUUCCAAAUUUCAAAAUAUUGAAGCAAGUUGGUGAACCUGAAGCAGGCAAGGUUGCCACUACAGAAUAAUCAGCUUUCUUUAACCAGAAGUUAUCCUAACCAGAAGUUAUCCUUGUAUUUGCAAAAAAUUCAAUUCCUGAGCAUACACAACAGCGGAUGUAAAUGUAAGCCAGCUAGAAUCUGGGACCAGCAUACUAGUUAGUUUCUGUAAUUUGACGGUGUCUGUAAAAGCAAAAGCAGAUGGAUCAGCACCCUCUUGUGGUCUUUGGUAAGAAUAUAAACUUUUGUCUUUACUAAAGGGCUAGAACUUUAUGCAAAGCUUUUUUCGUUUUUGUGUCCAUUUAAUUAGAGGUAGAGUACAAACCCCUCUUAUUUUUUAUUAUUUGAGUAUUGAAGAUGAUGGUACAAUAUAUACUGGGUUACUGAAGCCUAUACUGGCUUCUAGAGAGAAAUUGGGAUGGGUUGGGCUGCAAACUGGUUUUCUUUAGUUUUUUUUUUGCUGUGGUUUGCAAGAAUAUAGACUUUGUUCUUGUGCACAGGUAGACAUUUCAUAUCUCAUUGGAUGGGCGUCUGUAAAUAAAUACACAGCUUAUUCCAAAGAAGUGUUGUAUCGGGAUUAAAAUGGGGAUGUUUGUGAUAUAUAACUUUUAAAUUUACAAAGAGGGAGAUGAAUACUUGCUUAUUAACAAAAAAUCAUGAGAAUGUGUGGCUAGAAAUAAGUAUGCAAUAAGCAUUCCCUGUGCUGGUGUUCAUAAUGAACAUUAUGUAGUUGACUUAUAUUACUUAAAGCACCACAUUUAAUUUGUGGUUGUGUUAUGAAUAUAUGCAUUGUUUGCGUGGGCAUUUGAGUCUCAUGUUCAGUAAAUACUCUUUGUUUUAAAUUCAUUAUUAUGUAUAUGUUGGGAGGGGAGGGUGAGAAAAACUUUCCUUAGACUCUUUCAGAUUCGUCUUGUGAAAUGGCAACAAGCCAGAUGUGAAUUGAGUUUGAAGUUACCAUCCUAAACUUACAAGGUAUCGCUGAUGAAUGAGUGAACCUUAAUGCAGAAUAGAAAAAGCAAGGAUUGGAAAUUUGUGUUUGACCUCCUGCUUGUUUGAAAAAAGGCAGUGGCUUUAUAAUAUGCAGAUAAGAUCAAUACCAUAGAAGAUUCAGAUUUCACUAUCCAGAAGUUCUACGUAUAUGGCAAAUUCCAUUACAGCAUUUUUCAAGAGUUCUCGUUGACUUAGGAACAGGACUUAAGAAUUCUACUGAAGCAAAGAUAAGAAAUUAAUUUAUCAAGUAUUUACCAAGAUGUGUGUAGAAGUGAGUCACAUACAAGAAUAAGCAAAAAUUGUCAGACCAGAAUAUUAAUUACAUUGGCUGCUAGCAAUGAAAGACUUCAGACAGAUAUAAAUUAUUAUCUGGCAAGCAGUAACCCCAAAAUAUUUCAAUAAUAUGAAGAAAAAUAUCUUAAAGACUGAAAUUAGUAAUUUAAAUCCACUCCAUGGAAAUAAUUACACGUUGUAUACCUGAGGAUGAAUUUUGAAUUUAACCCUUACAACAGUGCUUAGAUCAAAAAGAUAACGUUAGACUGGACAAGAAUCAAGUUGAGGAGCCUGCAGUUUGAGAUCUUGGAGCUAGAACAGGCAAGGAUCAAGUGAUAGUGAUACACCUAAAGAAAAGAUCAAGUGGCUUCAGUUGAGAUAGAAAGCCUUGAAGAUCCCAUGGGGAGACAAAAGCCUCUAGCAGUUGAUGUCCUGGAAGGUAGAGAGAACGAGCCUGUGUUCUAAUUGCCAGAUCUAUCGUAUGUAUAUGGUAAAAUUUAGAAUUGGGUGUAGAUGGGGUUAGGGUCAUUGUGUUUUUGUAGUUUAUCUUUUUCAGGAUAAUGUAAAAUAUAACUCCUGGUGCAGUGUAAUUAUCCGCCGCAUUUAUUAUAUGUAAGUGCCUUUUGUAACUUCAAGCCAGCUAGCGUUUGGGAACCCAUCAAGUAUCAGUAUGUAGAUAUCCUCUAAUUUGAUAUGGCAGAAAUCAGCAACAAAUGGAUCAGCACCCUUUUGUGGUCUUUGGUAAGAAACACUUUUAAAAACUAUUUCAUAAAGGAAAAACUGUAUUAAAUCAUCAUAUUGGGCAAAAAUGAGCAGUGGGGAUUCUGUUAAAAGUUCUAAACAGAAAAUAAGAAAGUGAAAUGUGUAUGUUAUAUGUUGGUGUGGUGGAGAAUGUUUUGCUUAAAACUCUUUCAGAUUCAACUGAUGGCACCAAGCUAAAUCGGAAUUUACUUUGAAGUUACAAUCAUAAAAUAUCAAGGUAUUCCUGAUGAAUGAGUGAAAAGUAUUACAGAAUAGAAGUUUAAGCCUGAAAGAACAGAAAUGUCUGAAAUACAAAAUAUUUGACAAAUAUUGCUACUGUAGAAGAAUCAACAAUCCUUAUCCAUAGGGUCUCCAAGUAGUUACAAAAAAUUCUAUCACUCUUUAUUCCACAAAUUACAUUUUAAACAGGAAUUUACCAUAUAAGAAUCACUGUGAAGCACCAAUACAGUUACAGAAUAACCCAGUGUAUAGAAACGGUCUGCACUCAUCCAACAAGAAAAAAAACUGUAAUGGGAAAAUUACUUAUAAAAUGAAUAUCAAGGAAUAUGCAUUUGCUGACAGAAAUAGAAGUUUAAGCCUGAAAGAACAGAAAUGUCCGAAAUACAAAAUAUUUGACAAAUAUUGCUACUGUAGAAGAAUCAACAAUCCUUAUCCAAAGGGUCUCCAAGUAGUUACAACAAAUUUUAUUACUCUUUAUUCCACAAAUUACAUUUUAAACAGGAAUUUACCAUAUAAGAAUCACUGUGAAGCACCAAUACAGUUACAGAAUAACCCAGUGUAUAGAAAUGGUCUGCACUCAUCCAAAAAGAAAAAAAACUGUAAUGGGAAAAUUACUUAUAAAAUGAAUAUCAAGGAAUAUGCAUUUGCUGACAGAAAUGGAAAAAAGUUAGAUAAAAAGUUGUACUUGAAGACAUAGCUCGAGCAUAUUGUUAUGAUGUGGUAAAAAAGCGUUGUGGAACUAGAUUGUGAAAAGAUCAUUACUGUGAUCCCAGGACAAAUUAAGCAGCUUCAGUUCAACUAGGACAGUAUAUGGAGGACACCAAUGGAAGUUGGAAGCUUCGAUGUCCUGGAAAACAAGGCAAGCUUGCAUAACUGACAGUCCCAGCAUAUUUAUAUUAUUAGUAUUCCAAAUAUAUGUGAGUGUCACUUUAUAAUAUGCAAAUAAGAUCAAUACCAUAGAAGAAUCAGAUUUCACUAUCACUAUCCAUUACAGCAUUUUUCAAGAGUUUUCGUUGACUUAGGAACAGGACUUAAGAAUUCUACUGAAGCAAAAAUAAGAAAUUAAUUUAUCAAGUAUUUACCAAGAUGUGAGUAGAAGUGAGUCACAUACAAGAAUAAGCAACAAUUGUCAGACCAGAAUAUUAAUUACAUUGGCUGCUAGCAAUGAAAGACUUCAGAGAGAUAUAAAUUAUCCGGGAAGCAGUAAACCCAAAAUAUUUCAUUACUUUUAAUAUGAAGAAAAAUAUCUUAAAAGACUGAAAUUAGUAAUUAAAAUCCACUCCAUGGAAAUAAUUACACGUUGUAUACCUGAGGAUGAAUUUUACCCUUACAACAAUGCUUAAAUCAAAAAGAUAACGUUAGGCUGGACAAGAAUCAAGUUGAGGAGCCUGCAGUUGAGUUCUUGGAGCUAGAACAGGCAAGGAUCAAGAGAUAGUGGAACACUUAAAGAAAAGAUCAAGUGGCUUCAGUUGAGAUAGAAAGCCUUGAAGAUCCCAUGGGGAGACAAAAGCCUCUAGCAGUUGAUGUCCUGGAAGGUAGAGAGAACGAGCUUGUGUUCUAAUUGCCAGAUCUAUUGUAUGUAUAUGGUAAAAUUUAGAAUCGGAUGUAGAUGUGGUUAGGGUCGUCUGAGGCUUUUUUGUGUUUUUGUAGUUUAUCUUUUUCAGGAUAAUGUAAAAUAUGAUUCCUGGUGCAGUGUAACUAUCCGCCGCAUUUACUACAUGUAAGUGACUUUUGUAAAUUCAUGCCAGCUAGCGUUUGGGAACCCAUCAAGUAUCAGUAUGUAGAUAUCCUCUAAUUUGUAAUGGGAGAAAUCAGCAACAAAUGGAUCAGCACCCUUUUGUGGUCUUUGGUAAGAAUCACUUUUUAAAAACUAUUUCAUAAAGGAAAAACUGUAGUAAAUCAUCAUAUUGGGCAAAAAUGAGCAGUGGGGAUUCUGUUAAAAACGCUAAACAGCAAAUAAGAAAGUGAAAUGUGUCUGUUAUAUGUUGGUGUGGUGGAGAAUAUUUUGCUUAAAACUCUUUCAGAUUCAUCUGAUGGCACCAAGCUAAAUGGGAAUUUACUUUGAAGUAACGAUCAUAAAAUAUCAAGGUAUUCCUGAUGAAUGAGUGAAAAGUAUUACAGAAUAGAAGUUUAAGCCUGAAAGAACAGAAAUGUCCGAAAUACAAAAUAUUUGACAAAUAUUGCUACUGUAGAAGAAUCAACAAUCCUUAUCCAGAGGGUCUCCAAGUAGUUACAACAAAUUCUAUUUCUCUUCAUUCCACAAAUUAAAUUUUAAACAGGAAUUUACCAUAUAAGAAUCCCUGUGAAGCACCAAUACAGUUACAGAAUAACCCAGUAUAUAGAAACGGUCUGCACUCAUCCAAAAAGAAAAAAAUCUGUAAUGGGAAAAUUACUUGUAAAAUGAGUAUCAAGGAAUAUGCAUUAGCUAACAAAUGGAAAAAAGUUAACAUGAAAAGAUGAAAAGUUCUACUUGAUCGAAAACAUAGCUCGAGCAUGUUGUUAUGAUGUGGUAAAAAAAAGCGAUGUGGAACUAGAUUGGAAAAAGAUCAUAACUGUAAUCCCAGGACAAAUUAAGCAGCUUCAGUUCAACUAGACAGUAAAUGAAGGACCCCAAUGGAAGUUGGAAGCUUUGAUGUACUGGAAAACAAGGCAAGCUUGAGUAAUUGACAGUCAUAUUUAUAUUAAUAGUAUUCCAAAUAAAGGUGGGAAAGGUGGGAGGAUGGUGGUUUGCAGUUUUUAUUUUUCAGGAUUACACAGUAAAGCGCCUGGUGCCGUAACUAUUCCUGAGCAUAUACUAUAUAUAAGUGGAAGAAGCAAGCACAAGCCAAAUAAGAUCUGGGACCUCAGAAUAUCUUUAUAUAGUUAGCUUCUGUAAUCUAAAGGUGUGUAAAUCAGGAGCAGAUGGAUCCUUUUAUGGUCAUUUGUAAGGGUAAGAAUAUUACUUACUGGCUUUCCAAAAAGGUAAAAACUUUGUAAAAAUGUUUUUACUUUUUUUGUAACGUUUUGUAGGUCGAUUUCUAGAAGUGCAGUAUUUUUAAUUUAAUUAUUUAAGCAAUGAGGAUUAUAUUACAAUAUGCAUGGGUUAUUGGGGUGUUUGGUGUCAUGGCAUGGCAGAGAUCCUUGUGUCUUGUGUGAAAUUAGCGCCCUUGGCUUUAAAAUAGAAAACUACAUUUUGUUGUAUGUGUUGGGGGGGGGUGUAAAAUAUUUCAACUUAGAUUCUUUCAGAUUCUAUUGAUGAAAUGGCAACAAUUCAGAUGUGAAUUGAGUUUGAAGAUACCAUCCGAAACUUUCAAGGUAUCGCUGAUGAAUGAGUGAGCAGUAAUGAAGAAUAGAGAUAACAUUUGAAAGUGCAAUUUGCGUUGGACCACCUGAAUAUUUGAAAAGAGCCAGUGGCUUUAUAUAAUGUAGAUAAGAUUGAUUCCAUAGAAGAAUCAGAUAUCAGUAUCCAGAAUUUCUACAACAAAUUCCAUUACAGUUUAUUUCAAGAGUUAACUUUGACCUACUAACACAACUUCUAAGAAUACUACUGAAGCAAGAAUAAGAUGUCCAAAUUAAUCUAAGCAUUUACCAGGAUUUGAGCGUAUAGAAGUAAACCUCAAACAAGAAAAAUCAACAGCAGCCAGUUAUAUGAUGUAGUAACCAGAACAUUGAUCCAAAGUAUUUGAAAACCUCAACCUUAAAGACUGAAAUUAUCAAUAAAUGAAUGAAAGAUUCAAUACUUAGGAUUCAUUUAGACCUCACAAUAUUGCUUACAGCAAGCUAAUGAAGUUAGGCUGAGCAAGAAUCGUAUAGAAGAGCCUGCAGUCGAGAUCUUGGAGCUAGAAUUGGCAAGGACCAAGUGGUAGUGAUACUCCCAAAAGAAAAAACAUGGGAGUCCAGUUGAGCUAGGGAGCCUUGAAGAUCCCAAAGGGAGUUAGAAGCCUCUAGCAGUUGAUGUCCUGGAAGGCAGAGAAGGAAAGCGUUUUUUUCAGACCCACUGGUUGUACAUAAUCGUCCUGUGAAAUGGCACCAAACCAAAUGUAAACUGAGUUUGAAGUUAACCAUUCCAAAGUUUCCAGGUAUUGCCAAGGAGUGAAAGAUAACGUGAUAAAAGUGUUAACGUUUGAAUGAGAGAAUUCGAUUGAAGAAUCAUCAUUCCUUCAUAUCAAGAAGUGCUUCCUUUAUUUGAUGCAAAGUCAGUAGUGAUAUAGGAGUUCCCCACAGAUGAAUCAGAUUCAAAAAUUCAAAUGUAAAUGAUAUGCCUACCAUCACCUUCUAGUAACUGCAUUGUAUACAACGGACUUUCAGAAUUUUUCAUUAAAUGAGAGAUAUCACCACUAAAUGGCAAGAAAUUAAUACAGAUUCCUUCAUUUCAAACAAAAAACCCAACAGUUCAGCUAUGGCUUAAGUUUCUUUCAUGAUUUGAAAACCAGAAUUAAGUGCACUUCUCGGUAUGGAUGAGUUUCCCUGUCGUCUUUUGUGAGAGAAUGCCUAUACCCGCAGUGGCUUAUCAGGAUGAAAGGAAGAGUGUAUUUGACCUCACACAGGCAGACAUGAAAGCAAAUUAGAGGCAAAUAGAACGUCUUUAGCUAUAUUGGAAGAUGGAAGCAACCAUUUUAACAGAUAAGUGUUAUAGCAGCAUGUGUAUAUAUUUUCCUUUGGGGAAAAAAUUGCCUUAAGCGAGAAUUCUCAUAAUAAUUUGUGACCGCAAUCAAGUUAGUUAUAGAAUAACUUUAGAAUGAAGAUUGAAUACAUAUGAAUUAUGAUAAGAACAUUAGACUUGGAAUAUGGGACUAAUGCUUUAAUGCUUAUUCCUGCAUAUCAUCUAUACAAACUGAAGUUACACCAUAUCAUUUGUCUAAUUAUUGUGGGGAUAGUUGGGGUGGUGGGGGCUCUUACUUUGCAGUUUUUCUUUCUUUUCUCAUAGGAACCAUAAAUGUAAGGUUACCAACGAUGGAGCUGACUUAAUUGUGCACGUUUCUGAUUGUGAACAUUUCACAAGGACGUACUCCUGCUUUACUCUGAUAUUUACAGAUUGUAGUGCUACUAUAACUUGUGGCUAUUUACUGUAAGCAUAGUUUACCUAAGUAUUCUAUUCUGGGUGUUGGGGGGCUUACCUUGCAGAUUUUUUUUCCUUUUCUCUUCACAUAGGCGACAUAACUGUAAGGCUAACAUCGAUGGAGUUGAUUUAUUCCGCUGUUUAUUUCACUAACGGACUGACAUUUCAGUUCUUUAAAGUUCAAUGUUAGCAAAACCCGCUAAGUAAACUAAAAAAUUGGUGAGAAACAGGUCUUUGUGGGUUUUUUUCUAAUUUAAAGUGAAUGUUGGGGAUUUCUAACAGUAUUUACAUUAAUAAGUAGUAUAUUCAGAUCCCAAUGAGAACCCUACAGGGUACUUUAUAGCUGUAGUUUACUAGCUAUAGUACACGAGUAUACUAUCUGUAGUUUACUUACAUAAAUUACCACCAAGACCAUGAAUCCUUUUAAUAUAUAAAACUUUAAAUGGAACAUUCAAGGACUGAAAGUGUACAUAGGCUGCUUACUUUGUUGGGGGAGGGCAAUAUUUGUUGUGUUCUUACACUUUUUCAGAGACAUCCUACGUUAUAAAGCACAGCUUCACUCCAGGAGCUACAGAGGAAUAAGUCUUGCAAAUACUCAGUUUCGUCUGCUGCUCUUCCUGUAUGCUUUUGGCUUGUAACACUUUGUAAAUUCCCAUUACAUCUAUAACUUCUUGAUUGCCGAUCAAAAGAAAAGUAGGGAGGCGCUCAGGGGAUCCCAAACCUUUAUGCAACUUUAUUUAUUACGUGGCUCUUUACGCAGAGCAAAAUGAUUGGAUUCUGUAGCAGGUAAUGUGCAACGUGUGCAUGUGUCUCCCUCGUAGCUCGUUUGUAACGAAUGGAAUGUAUCUACAUCUCUGUCGUGAAUGGGCACGGAAUAUAUUUAAAUGUGAGCAUUAGACCCGAGCUUGUUAAUAAUCCCAUGUGAUUUAUUGUCAAGACUUGAAUGUUCUUGUGGAUUUUUUUUUCAGGGUUUGGGGGGGAGUUUAUUCUUUUCUUUUACAGAUGCACCUGACAAAUUAGUGACGUGAAAUUUGCACUUUAUCUCAAAAUGCACUAUUCUUCGUAUUGGUGGCAAGUCAUUCUAUUCUGAAGCAUUAUCUGCCAAGUUCUACUGCAUGUUGUUGUAUGCGUGCUUUCUUUGUUCUUUCUUCAGAAUUAGUUUGCAACGUGAAUGUGCUGUGAAACCUGCCUCUGUAAGGCUUGUAAAAUUUCAGCGGGGAUUCAGAGGGGGCUCUGUUUCUAGCUUAUGUCUCACAGAUUGGCUAAUGGAUUUCAAGAUCGCGGUGUAGAAGAUCAAAGCUCGCAAUCUAACAGGCCCUUUUUUAAUUGUCAGAGCGUCCUAGAUAUCCAGCUUCUGUCUGCAGAAUAUUUUAACCUGUCUUAAGUGAGGUUUGUGUCUUUAAAUUCUUGUAGAUUUAAAUUCUUCUAGAUUUAAAAAAAUCCAUAUACCUCAUGAAUACAAGAGCUAAAUUGCUCAUCCACUGUACUAAAGAUACUUGCCCACUUGUCCAUACUCGAACUUGAAAAAAGAUCUUUUAAAAUCAUAGCUUUACAGAUGGCUAUUUCCUCUGUUUGUAAAACCCCCCCUCCCUUGUGAAUGGGUUAGUUCAAAAUAACCUUGAAUGCAAAUAGAAGGCCUUACCAUCAAACUGAAGAUCAUCAUUUUGUGGGUUUUGGGGAGGGAGUUAAUCUACAACAUGUCUUCAGAUUUGUCUUUUCAGGUUUGCAAUAAAAUGAUCCAGGCUAGAAAAGUAAGAGUAACAUCCUUCUUUUGGGUGGGUCCUUAAGUAUAAUCGUGGUCAGGUACUGCACCUCAGCAAGGCAUCUAAAUUGAAGGGGGGGAGUAGAACACCUUUUAUCUCUACAUUCGUGAAUAAGGAGUACGCAAAUAUGGCAAAGCAGUCUCAAUUGUGUAUACAUCAAAGUUUAGUGGUACGUAUGUUUCUUGUUCAAGAGCGUCAGCGCCAACUCUUAACAUAUCAACUCUUUUUGAAAAUAUAUUUAGCUCAGUUGCCAAAAUUGUCUUCUUCUUUAAAUCCUUUAUGUGAAUGCAUUGGAUUUGGAAGUGGGGGGGGGGGGCAUAUAAUUAAUAUGUUCUAUCUACAGUCUUCUGGAAGUCAAGAACAUGUCUGAUUGUGCUACCGAGUGAAGUUGUGACCUUACACUGAAUCCAAGAAUGCACGCCUCCUUCAUCAGAAACAUCUUAUUUGUUUUUAU
Xenopus laevis (African clawed frog) is the source of this 12735-nucleotide long non-coding RNA. RefSeq lists it as uncharacterized. NCBI's taxonomy places the organism in Eukaryota, Metazoa, Chordata, Amphibia, Anura, Pipidae. The record is from RefSeq and is a predicted model, not a curated record. The transcript has 2 exons.